GGGGUCGUUCUGGUUUUGACAGCAAGCAGAGUGAAACCGUAAGCAUGCCGGGCCAUGGGACUUAUGCCUGUUAAAAUGUGUUCCAAACAAAUAAAAGGCGAAAACUUCGCAAUGGCUGCUUAAUCUUAAUUGAUUAAACCAGUCUGGAACGGUUGCUAGGCAAUUGGUUCCUUCCCUUCCCGGAGAUUUCUCCCUGUAAUUUCCGAACCGGAAGGGUAGUAUACGGGGAUAGUUGUUGCAGUGUCCUGAUGUAAUGGCGAAAUUAAAGGAAUAAGGAACAGGUAGGUCGCAUCUUGCCGGCCUGCUCCCGACAAUCAAGUUGAUGCUAAGCAUGUAGAAAGCUGUUUGGUUCCUUGUUUGGACCCGGGUUCGACUCCCGGCGGCUCCACCU
RNAcentral lists this transfer-messenger RNA (391 nucleotides) under Bacteroidales. Its description in RNAcentral is "GCA-002840935 sp002840935 Standard tmRNA". It matches the Rfam family "transfer-messenger RNA". From Rfam's summary of the family: Bacterial tmRNA, also known as 10Sa RNA or SsrA, is named for its dual tRNA and mRNA-like properties. Its role is to liberate the mRNA from a stalled ribosome. RNAcentral also lists the same sequence under 1 other name. The record is from RNAcentral. Lineage: Bacteria; Pseudomonadati; Bacteroidota; Bacteroidia.